This 455-nucleotide long non-coding RNA is filed under the name Chinchilla lanigera (long-tailed chinchilla). RNAcentral describes it as "lncRNA (ENSCLAG00000027095.1)". Lineage: Eukaryota; Metazoa; Chordata; Mammalia; Rodentia; Chinchillidae. The record is from RNAcentral.
CCGCUCCACACAGCUGGUCUUAGGAACUCGCUCUGAUCCUUGCGUUUGCGACUGUGUCUUUCUCCAGGCUCUCUCACUCCUGCUUCCUUCAGAAUCUCCCAAAUCAACACUCUGCUUGCCGGCUCCAGAGACACUCACCAGAGGGAGCAGAGGGGCCCCGGUUGGAAGCAGGCGCCCAUGAGGAAGCCUUUGCAGGAUGAGUGUCAUCCUCCAGAGAGGCGGGCUGCCCGGAGACAAAGCCUCUACUCAACAACAAACACCUCCUUGUGCCAAAAAAGAGAGAAAAGCUCACAUGUGUCUCCCGGCCAAAUCACUCACUGUUUACAUCUGUGAAGCGCUGCAUUGUUUUGGAGCAGCUCUGGCCCAAAACAUUUCCCUCAGCCCCACUCUCCACCCUGCCUACUCUCAUUUUCUGUUCACUCUGCCGUGAGGCUGUGUGGGAGAAAGAAUAAAAG